CUUCCAUGCCUGGGGCUCAGCCCAUGGGAUGACCAAAGGGCUCCACGUUGAUGUCCUGGCUAACAAAACCUGUGGCUUUGAAGGGCAACACACCAACUGUGCUGCCAGACCCCUCCCUUGGGAGGGAUUUUAUUCUUAUUCAAGCACUGGUAUAAAGCACAAGUGCUCUGGCUUUAGGAGGAUUUGCUAUUCUCAUAAUGAUAUAUGUAUUUUCAGAGAGCAUUGCUCUUGAAUGGGGUUCAUUAAAAUGAAUCUGCAGAAAAAGAAUGUGGUCAGACUUGGGGGAAUGACUUCACAGCUUUUAUUAAAGGGCAGCGUAAUCCUCCCCUGGAUAACUGGAGAAUCCUUAUAAAGAAAAAUAAGCAGUGAUGAUGUGUUCCAGUUUGAGUGCCAUGCUUUGGAAGUUCUGACCCAUGAGAUGUUAAUUUCCCAGUCUAAUUACAUGAAAAUGUAUAAAUAUGAGUGCUGAUGAGGAGGAGAAGUAUCCUGCUUCUGAAAGGAAUUAUGCAAUUCAUCUGGGAUUUGCUCUGGACUGCUUCCAAAUACACCCACACAACUGCUCUAAGAGUGAUGAGGUUUAUCCGAAGAUGGACUUGGCAAGCUUGUGUUUCAAAGGGUUACUGAUCCAAAAUGCUUCAGGAAGAGACUUCAAGACACACAAGUAACUCCACAAAGCAAUAAGAUAAAAGAUUGUGAACAGUUUCUGUAUUUAAAUGUUUACAAGAGUUGAAGCUGGUAGCUUAAACAUUUUCUCUGAAAAUGUCUCCUUCUCCACCAGUGAACCAGCAUCAGUCAGUUUGAUGACAACUAACUGGAUGCUCACAGCCUGUGACUGCUCAGGGUUUUGUGAUGUUGAAUACCUGCCAGGUUUUUCUUCAGAAAAACAUAAGAGUGUGGCUCAACUGAUGGUCAGAGGAAUCUUUAACACCCUGUUGACUAAUUUUUCUCCAUCUGCAGAUGCAUGAAACAACCUUGGAAAGCCCUGCUGUCCACGGACAAGGCUAUGAAUCUAGAGACCUGGUUUUGAUCUUGGCUCCCCCCUUGGACUGCUCCACAGCCUUGAGCUGCCUUUCUCCUCCAGGCCUUACAACACACCCUCCUAGAAAAUGGGGGUCCACAGCACAGCCCUCCAUUGUUGAGGCACUCAAAGAGCUACUCAUGAGAACUGCAAUGCAAUGACUGGGAUUCUGUUUCUGCCAGUGCACUAAUUCCAGAACCCACACCCAAAUUUAUGAAAUUACCUUUUAAAUGAUGAGACAAAAUCAUUCUUUUUAUUCUCUGUCUCUCUCUCUCUCUUUUUUU
Molecule: long non-coding RNA, 1302 nt
Organism: Passer domesticus (house sparrow)
Lineage: Eukaryota; Metazoa; Chordata; Aves; Passeriformes; Passeridae
Exons: 3
Source: RefSeq, a predicted model, not a curated record